UACAGAGGUCUCGAGCGUUGUUCGGAUUCAUUGGGCGUAAAGGGCGCGUAGGCGGCGGGGUAAGUCUGGUGUGAAAUCUCGGAGCUCAACUCCGAAAUUGCACUGGAUACUGCUCUGCUAGAGGGCUGGAGAGGAGAUCGAAAUUCACGGUGUAGCAGUGAAAUGCGUAGAUAUCGUGAGGAAGACCAGUGGCGAAGGCGGAUCUCUGGACAGCUCCUGACGCUGAGGCGCGAAGGCUAGGGGAGCAAACGGG
RNAcentral lists this ribosomal RNA (253 nucleotides) under uncultured bacterium. Its description in RNAcentral is "partial 16S ribosomal RNA". It matches the Rfam family "Bacterial small subunit ribosomal RNA", at positions 524 to 776 of the family's 1533-position model. The record is from RNAcentral.